This is a non-coding RNA of Paramuricea clavata, 507 nucleotides long. NCBI's taxonomy places the organism in Eukaryota, Metazoa, Cnidaria, Anthozoa, Malacalcyonacea, Plexauridae. The record is from the annotation of a GenBank genome assembly.
CUGUAACUUGGGGAAACUGCUCAAAAACACUUUUACUUCGCAUUCUUCGACUGCAAAAGCGUGCAGCACGUAUUAUUACGCUGACUUUUCCACUCCUUCUGUUCUUUUUUUCCCAGAUUCGAAUAAUCCCAAUCUUUGAUCUUGUUAAAUUUAGGAAGCUUCUCUUACUAAUUAACAUCCUCACAAAUCCCAGUGCUCCAUCUUCAUUGAAGGUGGUUCCCUACAGUUAUUCUUGUUUAAGCAAUAAUUCCGUAAAACAGGCUUAUUCGUGCAGAACGCGAAUUCUUUUCGACUUGGUGGCAAUAUUGGUCACCUAAGGAAUAUUUCGAACUAGAUUUCGACGAUGUCAAUGUUCUCAUGGCAACAUGACGACAGCAUAAAGCCUUCCAAUUUAACCCAUAAAUGUGCCGCUAUCUCAAAAACGAUGUCGGGGACCUAUCUUUUUUAUUUCAUAUAUCAAUAAGGAAUGAUGCUCUGCAACUGUGGUGAAAGUUUAAAAAAAUUCUG